AACCGGGUUGCGGCAAUCUCACCGAUAAACUAAAACCCCCCUGACCUCCAACACUCGCUUCCAUCGCCGCUGUUCACUCUCCGACGCCGACGUCGGUCAAGAGCGAAGAGGAUCAGAGGUCGCCGUCUCGAUCCCUCAAGAGGAGGCGGAGAGGAGAGGGAUCCUUCUAGGAAAAGGAAGAGGAGCUUGGUUCCUGGAUCCAUGGAGAUGGAGCAGAAGCAGGCAGAGAUCAUUGAUCGUUUCGUCAAGCAGGCGGAGGGCAUGGAGGGUGCUCCCCUUGCCGCACUUGUCCUCGAGGCAACCUCCCAUCCAUCACUCUUCGCCUUCUCGGAGAUCCUCUCAUCCCCCAACAUCGCCAAGCUCCAGGGGACGCGGUUCUCAUCAUCUAUUGAUUUGCUUCGAUUGUUUGCUUAUGGCACAUGGAGUGAUUACAAGAGUAAUGCUGGGGGUCUUCCAACAUUGUUGCCUGAUCAAGUUCUCAAACUAAAGCAAUUGAGUGUACUGACAUUGGCUGAGACAAACAAGGUACUGCCAUAUGAUCAACUUAUCCUUGAGAUAGAUGUUGCAAAUGUAAGAGAACUUGAGGACUUUCUCAUAAAUGAGUGCAUGUAUGCGGGUAUAGUUAAAGGAAAACUGGAUCAACUGCGCAGAUGUUUUGAGGUCCAAUUUGCGGCUGGAAGAGAUCUUAGGCCUGGACAACUCAGCAAUAUGAUAGACACGCUGGCAGACUGGCUGGGCAAUUCUGAUAACCUGCUUCAGUCUAUCCAAGGAAGGAUCAGAUGGGCGGAUAGAAUGAAUGAGGUUGACAAGAUGCAUCGCAAAGAUAUUGAGGACAGGGUGGAAGAUGUUAAGAAGUCCCUCAAGAAGUUUAGCAGGCCGACUUGAACUUACGAGGCCAUGAUGAGACAUAUUUUGAACCUGGAAGAUUAAUGGACCAUGAAGAUCGUAGCAGACCCAAGAGGAGAAGGCACCCUAUGUCGUAGAGACUAGGUGUGAAAUAGAUCUGAGUCGGUGGGGUUUCAGUUCAGUUCUUGCUACCUUGAAGGCAUUCUGGCAUCAAGUGUUCUUUGAAAUCAAAUCUAUACCUUCAAACUGUACCCCCAAUCAAACUCAUCUUUUACUGUUCAUCUCCUUCAUGCAUUCAUUGAACUGAUAGGUUUUGGCUGUAGAUGGCCGAAGACUAGAUAUAUAGAUUUCUUUUUUAAAAAGAAAAAAAAAUAGUUAUUUACUGUAGUAGUAGAUCAGGCAUAGCCAUGUAGCAAUGUUUUAAAUCUUUAUUUUGAUGUUAUUUUCUUUGUGGGACAAUAGAAAGGAUAUGAAAACAGCUUGAGAUCAUCUAGACUAAUGUGUUGCCUUUGGUUAA
This is an RNA transcript of Dioscorea cayenensis subsp. rotundata (Guinea yam), 1363 nucleotides long. It is a transcript of the gene named COP9 signalosome complex subunit 7-like, with no coding region annotated. The transcript is spliced from 9 exons. Lineage: Eukaryota; Viridiplantae; Streptophyta; Magnoliopsida; Dioscoreales; Dioscoreaceae. The record is from RefSeq and is a predicted model, not a curated record.